Molecule: ribosomal RNA, 1016 nt
Filed under: uncultured euryarchaeote
Lineage: Archaea; Methanobacteriati; Methanobacteriota
Description: bacterial SSU rRNA
Rfam family: Archaeal small subunit ribosomal RNA
Source: RNAcentral
GUCACUGCUCUCAGUGUUCGACUAAGCCAUGCAAGUCAAAUGUUCUUCGUGAACAUGGCGAACUGCUCAGUAACACGUGGAUAACCUGCCCUUAGGACCGGCAUAACCCUGGGAAACUGGGGAUAAUUCCGGAUAACCCAUUAAUGCUGGAAUGCUUCGUGGGUAAAAUGGUUUCGACCGCCCAAGGAUGGAUCUGCGGCCUAUCAGGUAGUAGUGGGUGUAGUGUACCUACUAGCCGACGACGGGUACGGGUUGUGAGAGCAAGAGCCCGGAGAUGGAUUCUGAGACAUGAAUCCAGGCCCUACGGGGCGCAGCAGGCGCGAAAACUUUACAAUGCGGGAAACCGCGAUAAGGGGACACUGAGUGCCAGCAUCUUAUGUUGGCUGUCCGCAUGUUUAAAACGCAUGUGUUAGCAAGGGCUGGGCAAGACCGGUGCCAGCCGCCGCGGUAACACCGGCAGCCCGAGUGGUGAUCACUAUUAUUGGGUCUAAAGGGUCCGUAGCCGGUUUGAUCAGUCUUUUGGGAAAUCUGACAGCUUAACUGUUAGGCUUCCAAAGGAUACUGUCAGACUUGGGACCGGGAGAGGUAAGAGGUACUACAGGGGUAGGAGUGAAAUUUUGUAAUCCCUGUGGGACCACCAGUGGCGAAGGCGUUUUACCAGAACGGGUCCGACGGUGAGGGACGAAAGCUGGGGGCACGAACCGGAUUAGAUACCCGGGUAGUCCCAGCCGUAAACGAUGCUUGYUAGGUGUYAGGRAUGGUGCGACCGUUUYUGGUGCCGUAGGGRAGCCGUGAAGCGAGCCACCUGGGAAGUACGGCCGCAAGGCUGAAAAUUAAAGGAAUUGGCGGGGGAGCACUACAACGGGUGGAGCCUGCGGUUUAAUUGGAAUUAAAGCCGGRAAACUYACCGGGGGCGACAGCAAYAUGUAGGUYAGACUAAAGACCUUACCCGAAUYGCUGAGAGGAGGUGCAUGGCCGUUGUCAGUUUGUACUGUGAAGCAUCCUGUUAAGUCAGG